RNAcentral lists this transfer RNA (72 nucleotides) under Capra hircus (goat). It matches the Rfam family "tRNA". Rfam says of the family: Transfer RNA (tRNA) molecules are approximately 80 nucleotides in length. The record is from Rfam by way of RNAcentral. RNAcentral also lists the same sequence under 1 other name. Lineage: Eukaryota; Metazoa; Chordata; Mammalia; Artiodactyla; Bovidae.
UCCCUGGUGGCUCAGAUGGUAAAGAAUCUGCCUGCAAUGCAGGAGAUCCAGGUUUGAUCCCUGGGUUGGGAA